GAUGAACGCUGGCGGCGUGCCUAAUACAUGCAAGUCGAGCGAACGGACGAGAAGCUUGCUUCUCUGAUGUUAGCGGCGGACGGGUGAGUAACACGUGGAUAACCUACCUAUAAGACUGGGAUAACUUCGGGAAACCGGAGCUAAUACCGGAUAAUAUUUUGAACCGCAUGGUUCAAAAGUGAAAGACGGUCUUGCUGUCACUUAUAGAUGGAUCCGCGCUGCAUUAGCUAGUUGGUAAGGUAACGGCUUACCAAGGCAACGAUGCGUAGCCGACCUGAGAGGGGGAUCGGCCACACUAGAACUGAGACACGGACCAGACUCCUACGGGAGGCAGCAGUAGGGAAUCUUCCGCAAUGGGCGAAAGCCUGACGGAGCAACGCCGCGUGAGUGAUGAAGGUCUUCGGAUCGUAAAACUCUGUUAUUAGGGAAGAACAUAUGUGUAAGUAACUGUGCACAUCUUGACGGUACCUAAUCAGAAAGCCACGGCUAACUACGUG
Molecule: ribosomal RNA, 497 nt
Filed under: uncultured bacterium
Lineage: Bacteria
Description: partial 16S ribosomal RNA
Rfam family: Bacterial small subunit ribosomal RNA
Source: RNAcentral